This 484-nucleotide ribosomal RNA is filed under the name uncultured bacterium. RNAcentral's name for it is "partial 16S ribosomal RNA". It matches the Rfam family "Bacterial small subunit ribosomal RNA", at positions 30 to 507 of the family's 1533-position model. The record is from RNAcentral.
AUUGAACGCUGGCGGCAGGCCUAACACAUGCAAGUCGAGCGGAUGAAGGGAGCUUGCUCCUGGAUUCCGCGUCGGACGGGUGUGUAAUGCCUAGGAAUCUGCUUGCUAGUGCGGGAUAACGUCCUGAAACGGGCGCUAAUACCGCAUACUUCCUGCUGGAGCAAGUGGGGGGUCUUCGGACCUCUCCCUAUCAGAUGAGCCUAGGUCGGAUUAGCUAGUUUGUGGGGUAAAGGCCUACCAAGCCGACGAUCCGUAAAUGGUCUGAGAGGAUGAUAAGUCACACGAGAAGGGGAACACGGACAAGGCGACUAAGAGAGGGAGCAGACGGGAAUAUGAGGCAGUGGGCGAGAGCAUGAUACAACCAGGCCGCGUGUGUGGAGAAGAUCUUCGGAGUGUAAAGAACGUUAAGUUGGGAGGAAGCGCAGUAAGUUGAGACCUAGCGGUAUUGACGUUAACAACUGAAGAAGCACCGGCUAACUUCGUG